This 1551-nucleotide long non-coding RNA is filed under the name Oryza brachyantha (malo sina). RNAcentral's name for it is "long non-coding RNA (OBRA_LNC000856)". The record is from RNAcentral. Lineage: Eukaryota; Viridiplantae; Streptophyta; Magnoliopsida; Poales; Poaceae.
GUAGACGUUGCCAAAGUUUCUCGUGGGUCAGAGCAAGGCAAGUGACACCAUUCUUUGAUCAUAUUGAACCUAUGUUUAUAAAAAUUGCCCCGCUUUACAUUCAAACAUGCAUUACUUUAUGCAAACUUACUUUACUUUAUUUAUUUACUUAUUGGGCAUUACCUUUAGUUAUAUCCGUUAAUUACCAUUUAUUCUUAUUGUUACCCUAGGGUUAAUUUGACUAGAAAUAAGCUUAGGCAAUGCUUAGCCAUGCUUAGUUCAACUAGCUCACAUGUGAUCAUUUAAUUACUACUAGACUUGAUAGAUAUUUAAUGGUUGUGGUCAUGAUUAAUCUCCUGAUGUAGAUUAAAUACAACUAAAACAUUGCUCAUGGUUUUGAGAGUCGUAUCCGUGGCAAUUAAGGACCGGUUCUUUGAAACCCUAGAAGUCUUACACGUACUAACCACAUGCCGAAAUGGGUAAGGUGGGAUUUGAACCGUAGCUUCGAACUAUUUGAUGUACCAAGGCAAGGUUGGGCGUGAUGGAGUAUGGAUGGGAGUCGUGGUCUAAAUGGCCUAUGCUGCUUCCGGAUUCACCAAGGCACAAGAGGGGACUGCCCGACUUGGUGUAAAGGAGGGGGUGAAACCUAAAGUGCGGUGCGAUUAAAUAGGGAGGGUUAUGUGACGGUUUCUAUCACAGUUUCCUUUCCGUGGUAUCGUGGUGAUACACCGGCACACGUUCAAGUGUAGUGGAACUGUGUCUUGUAGGUAAAGUUGUACACCUCUGCAGAGUAAAACUAUUCAAAUAGUCGUGCCUACGGUUAUGGGGCGAACUUACAGAUUCACUGAGAUUAGUCAAAACUUUAAUAAAUUGAUGAACUUGGUAUUGGUUUGACCCUGCGCAAUAUGGUGUAACAUUGGGCAGUGGUUUGGGUCUGCCAUAACGUGAUGUAACAUUGGGCAGAGGGUUGACCCUGUCGCUACGUGGUAUAACGUUCGACAGCGGUUUGGGCCUAUUGCAACGUGGUGUAACGUUGAAUAGUGAAUAAUUAUUUUCAUGUACUUUACAUUACUUUUUAUUCACUUCUUACUCAGUCUAUUUACUGCUUUGCUAAAUAAAUGUUGCUUUGUGCAAUUUAACCUUAGCAUAUCCUUAACACCCUAGUGCAUUCAUUAUUCUUCCUCUCUUGGGUGUUACUUGCUGAGUACCGUGGUUUGUACUCAGCCUUACUUAAUUUUUCCCGCACCAGAGCAAGUGUCAGAGCCUGUGUUAGAAGAAGGUGGUCCGAAGUGUUAGAAGAAGGUGGUCCGAAGGUUGAAGUGAGGUUCAGUUCGCCGUCAAGAAUGCCUGUGGAGUGGAGCCAUCAUCGUCAGCUGAAACUGAAGAUGAGAUGGUUUUAUUCUUGUUUUUCUUUUCCGCUGCAUUUCAAUAGAUAAUUGUUUUUAUUUGUUUUUAAGUCGUGGAACUGUGUAUUAAUUUGUCAUAAUGUGUACUCGGUUCCUGGACCGAGAUUAAUGCAUGAUAUUGUUCGGAAAUUGGUGUAAAUUUCUGGGCGUGAUAUUUUAUAGAAAG